AAAUGGUGAUAGUAGCAACAUCAUAGUCAUACUCUGAAAUCUCAUUCAUUGAAACAUAAACAUCCGAAACAUCGGAAUCAAGUUCAAUUACAUCAGAAUCAACCACAUUGUUUGGGAUAUCAGCAACAACAUUGGAAAAAUUAAAUACAUCACCAUUGAUUACAGAAUCAGUAGGAACAACAUCUGCGAAUUCAUCAGUAGCAUCUUC
Molecule: long non-coding RNA, 208 nt
Filed under: Lathyrus oleraceus (garden pea)
Lineage: Eukaryota; Viridiplantae; Streptophyta; Magnoliopsida; Fabales; Fabaceae
Description: Pisum sativum (pea) long non-coding RNA (PSAT_LNC020310)
Source: RNAcentral